Molecule: non-coding RNA, 219 nt
Organism: Vicia faba (fava bean)
Lineage: Eukaryota; Viridiplantae; Streptophyta; Magnoliopsida; Fabales; Fabaceae
Source: the annotation of a GenBank genome assembly
AUGUCACUUCUUUCUACUGCAGUAUUACCAGCAUUAGUGGUGGAGUUAACUAAUGAAAAUAAAGGAAGGGCAACGAGGGCUCCACCUCUGCGAGUUUCCUCGGCUUCUAUCAGACUUUCUUCUGUAGUUGUAUUGCAGAAUGAAUUUUUUUUCCAGUUUGGAUGUUGCAUUUAUAAUAAAGAUAUAUAUUCUAUAAUAUUCCGUGCUGCUUUACUCUUU